Molecule: long non-coding RNA, 4426 nt
Filed under: Lupinus angustifolius (narrow-leaved blue lupine)
Lineage: Eukaryota; Viridiplantae; Streptophyta; Magnoliopsida; Fabales; Fabaceae
Description: long non-coding RNA (LANG_LNC000437)
Source: RNAcentral
UGUGUAUUAGUUGUAGGGAAGACAAGGUUCAGAAUUCAUUACAACAAAAGAUAGUUGAAGGAUAGCAAAAUAAGAACAAUUUAAGAGAGAGAGAGAUUAAUCAGAAGGAAAAUUAUUACACAACUUUCACACCCCACUCAUUACAUAAUCACUCAAUUUAACAUUCUUCCUCAUGCGAUGUCUGCUUCUACGUAUUCCAUUUGCUGCAUGAUCUUGUGCCACGUGUACUAAUUCCCCCACUUUCUCUUUUUCCAUAACCGAAUUUCCCACAUCAUCUUCUACCUCCUUGUCACGUGUUAUAAGCAUUUUCCUCUUCCUUAAUGGAUAAUAUCUUAGCUCAAUGGAGAGGAUCUUGUUCAUUCUCAUGUGGUUGCACACAACAUUGGCAUAUGAAACACAUAAAUGGCAGAUGAAAUUGUCCAAUUCGUUUCCAGUCAUAACCUAUAAGAUGCCUCGAUACAAAGACAAAAGUGCCAUCACGAGUUCAUUUUCCAGACAUAGAAUUUCCCAACUGAAAACAAAGCAAAAGAAGCAAAAGUGUGUUCCGUGCGAAGGAAUGACGGAUGCAAUGGAGGUUUUUGUGGAAAAUGAGGCAAGGAGGAAGAAACAAGCUUGGAAGACCACCACCAUGGUCGAUGCAGUGAGGAAGGCAAUCAGAGAAAAUGAUGAACUUUUAUUUUAUUUUUUUCGUGUGCCAUACAUCACCUAAAGUCAGCAGAAUUGACAAAAAAGAUUUUUUUGUACUAAAGUUAGCAGAACUAAUAUUUGUGGUUGUUCCUCCCAACAAAUGUCGCUCAUAGAAAUCAAAUUUUUAUUCUUAGAAUCCAGUAGGACCUUAUACCACCAAACCGGUUCUAGUCGACAAAAAUGAUUUAAUACAUUUACUUGAAACAAAAAACUUAUAAGAACGAAUAUUAACCUAAAAAUACAUAUGUGGCACACUAAACAAUCAACGAACUAAAGCAAAUGUGAUCAUAAUGGUUAUGGCAGAUAUUUGAAGAAGACAUGAAUUACAAGAGACAAUCAUGGAGGCUCGAAUAUACAACUAAAUGAAGACCAAUAUGGUACACACAAAAUAUUGAGAGAUUGAAUUAGUUAAUUUUUGAAGAAUUAGGAAUGAAAAAUAUUUUUUCAUGGUGAAAAGACUUUGUAAUUUUUUAAUUUCCAACUUGGAUAUUAUAAAAAAUUCACAUUGAUAUUUAAUAUGUCAGCACUUUUAUUACCAUUAAUUGAAUGGAGGGACUAAUGUGAAUUACAAAGAAGAAAAAAGAAUACUAAAUUGAUAAUACAUUUUUAUUAAUGUCGGAUUAUGGGAAAAUAACUUUAUUGCCCAAAAUAAAUGAUUACUCUUAAUUUUAAAUUAUUAAUGUAUUUGAAAUAUGAUUUAUAGUAGGAUCAACAUUUGUUGUACCAAAAGAGUGUUUCAUUCCAUUUGAUACUUAUUCUAAUUGGUUGAAAAAUAUACAUUUAAGUUUAAAACUUAAUGAUAAAGUAUUUUUCUGACCAAUCAUAUAAAGUGACAAAUGGAGUGACACUUUUUGGGAUAGAAGAUGUGUUCACUUUAUAAUAGCAUGCAUGUUUCUCAAUUCAUCUAUACAUUUGAGAAACUAACAAGAUGUUGGUUUAGUGGUGUAAGGCCACACUUGAUCCCUAAGGUCGAAGGUUCGAUUGAUGAGAGCGACAUUUGUUCGGAGGGGCGGUCACGAAUCCCGAAAGAGAUUAAUUUCUUACCCAAAAGGCAAGAAGAUACCCUUGGUAGUACCAAAAAAUGCAAUUGAGAAACACGUGGUAGAAGGUUGCGCCGAAUCUUCUUAAAUUCGAACACCUUGUCCGUCAAUGGGGAUAUGUUACUCCCAAACUUGUCCCAAACCAAUCAUAAUAAUGUAAAAAUAGAAAAGGUCAUAAAUGUUGUCGCGUUCUAGUCGACAAAAAUGAUUUAAUACAUUUACUUGAAACAAAAAACUUAUAAGAACGAAUAUUAACCUAAAAAUACAUAUGUGGCACACUAAACAAUCAACGAACUAAAGCAAAUGUGAUCAUAAUGGUUAUGGCAGAUAUUUGAAGAAGACAUGAAUUACAAGAGACAAUCAUGGAGGCUCGAAUAUACAACUAAAUGAAGACCAAUAUGGUACACACAAAAUAUUGAGAGAUUGAAUUAGUUAAUUUUUGAAGAAUUAGGAAUGAAAAAUAUUUUUUCAUGGUGAAAAGACUUUGUAAUUUUUUAAUUUCCAACUUGGAUAUUAUAAAAAAUUCACAUUGAUAUUUAAUAUGUCAGCACUUUUAUUACCAUUAAUUGAAUGGAGGGACUAAUGUGAAUUACAAAGAAGAAAAAAGAAUACUAAAUUGAUAAUACAUUUUUAUUAAUGUCGGAUUAUGGGAAAAUAACUUUAUUGCCCAAAAUAAAUGAUUACUCUUAAUUUUAAAUUAUUAAUGUAUUUGAAAUAUGAUUUAUAGUAGGAUCAACAUUUGUUGUACCAAAAGAGUGUUUCAUUCCAUUUGAUACUUAUUCUAAUUGGUUGAAAAAUAUACAUUUAAGUUUAAAACUUAAUGAUAAAGUAUUUUUCUGACCAAUCAUAUAAAGUGACAAAUGGAGUGACACUUUUUGGGAUAGAAGAUGUGUUCACUUUAUAAUAGCAUGCAUGUUUCUCAAUUCAUCUAUACAUUUGAGAAACUAACAAGAUGUUGGUUUAGUGGUGUAAGGCCACACUUGAUCCCUAAGGUCGAAGGUUCGAUUGAUGAGAGCGACAUUUGUUCGGAGGGGCGGUCACGAAUCCCGAAAGAGAUUAAUUUCUUACCCAAAAGGCAAGAAGAUACCCUUGGUAGUACCAAAAAAUGCAAUUGAGAAACACGUGGUAGAAGGUUGCGCCGAAUCUUCUUAAAUUCGAACACCUUGUCCGUCAAUGGGGAUAUGUUACUCCCAAACUUGUCCCAAACCAAUCAUAAUAAUGUAAAAAUAGAAAAGGUCAUAAAUGUUGUCGCGCCCGAUUUUCGGUUACGCGACCUCUUAGAGUCGCCACUACAUUUUAUGAUAAAAAAUGUAAAAAAAUAUUUUAAGCACAAUCACAUUGGGAUUUUGGAUUGUGAUAUCCAGGUUCGGGAGUCGAUUAAGGAUCGAGGAAUGUAUUAGCACCUCGUCCACCCGUAAUUAAAUGAUACCAUUUUGUAUGAUUUAAAUACCCUUAGUUUAUUUCAAAUUAGAUUGUGUAAAACAAAAUAUUUAUUUUUUAUUUUUAUGUCUGACAAGAUUAAAUCUUGCUCCUACGUAUCUCUAAACAUUUUAGGAAAUCAAGACUACGUAGUUCUAAAUUUUAAAAUGGUUUGUUGGUAAAAUAAUUAACUCCUUAAAAAGGGUGAAGCAUCAGAAACUAAUGUUCGUACCGCAUCCCAUUUUAAAAAAGUUUGCAAAUAAUUAUAAUAUAUUUUUUAUUUUUUAUUGUUAAUUUAGGAAUUAACCGAGUGAAAAGAAGUGUCGUAACGCGACCAUUCAAGGAUAAUAUGAGGACAAUAAGUGUUAACACGGCCUGUCUCCACCCUUUGAUUAAUCCCACAAAAAUUAUAAAAUUUUUAUAAACUUUGAUAAUGUUAUGGAAUCAUUUUUUGAGGCAAAUAGUUUAUUAUUAAGGACAUCUUUAUUUUAAAUGUUCUGUUUUUCUUUUUUAAAAUAAUUUUUUUAUUUAAUUACAAAAAUAACAAAUAUUCAACUAGUUAGUAAAAAAUAAGAGAAAUAAAAAAGGUUAAUUGAUUAUUAGUAUUCUUACCCUUUUUGUUAAAGUAUUUAUACAAUAAAAAAAUUAGUAUUUAUUCAAUGAAAAAAUUAUUUAGCAUUUUUAACUUACUAUCACAAUAAAAAUAAAUUAUAGUUAGUGAAAUAUAAUUGUUAUCAUCAAAAGAAAUAAAAAUGCUUAUACAAUAAGAAGAUAUUAAAAAUUUAUGUACCUGGAUGGCUUUUAAUCUAGUUCAACAGGGAACACAGUGAGCUUCCACGUGCCACUUAAAGAGUGGCUAGAAAGGGUUGCUGCAGGGACUGCGCCACAUGGUGGAUUCAAGUUUGCUCAGUCUGAAGGGUGUACGGUGCUUAGUAUGCGCACGGUUACACUAAACCAAAGACUAAAACGUGAUGUGAUGCGGUGCAAGUGUGAGUAUUGUGAACGUUGUGCACCCACCAAAUGCCAGACCUGGAUUGGUUGGAGGCACGGGUAAACAGAGUCUAUUGUGGGUUCGUUUGCACUAGAACGUGAGCGUGCGUAAAGAUGCGGUGCACAUGUCGCUGUCUGGUUGGCUAUGGUUUCUGAUCAACAGAAUGGACGUGAUGAAGACUUAUCCAAUGGCUAGAGUGAUGGGUACACACUCCUUACAGUGGUCUCACCCACACUGGAUUAAACGAUCCUCACUUUCUUCUUUCUCCUUCUUUUGUUUUUUUUAAAUG